RNAcentral lists this long non-coding RNA (969 nucleotides) under Hordeum vulgare. RNAcentral describes it as "long non-coding RNA (HVUL_LNC002930)". Lineage: Eukaryota; Viridiplantae; Streptophyta; Magnoliopsida; Poales; Poaceae. The record is from RNAcentral.
UCGGAGGUCAGUUAUGCCUCGAAUGUGGAUCCAGCGGUGCUUGAGAAGAGGCGCCCAAAUAAGCUGCUCCCCCUUCGGGAGCUGCAGCCCCCAAUCGAAGCAGCAGCAGCUCCGUUCCGAGCUGCAACCGGGCUCCUCUCCGAGCCGCAGUCCGCAAUCGAAGCGCUUCCCGUUUCAAAUCGCAAUCCGCAAUCAAAGGAGUCCUUCCCGGGCUACAAUCAGAGGCAAGUCCGCUUCCGGAUUCCUCCUCGUAUUUGUGUACAUAGAAUCUUCGAUAUUUAGACGAGAGUUUCCAUAGCAGCUAUACACGGAUACGGAGUAGCAUACUACAGUAUAUAUCUGGGCUGGCGGCACCGCGGUACCCUCCAGGUUUAAGAGGAGACGAGCAACAACUCCCUAGACAACAGUUUUGAGGCAGACCAGCAAGUCGGGCUAUGGGGAUCAGAUCUCGUCGCCGGCGGCCGGCUGCUAGAUCGGUGGCCGAACCCGCCGAACCCAUGGAGGUGAGCCUCUUGUCCUCUCCUUCCUCGGAAUAUCUUAUCUUCCUGAUAGCAUCAAAAUUCAAUCUUUCGAGUCUUAUCAAAUUUUUAGUUUUUGGUACAGAAAUGCGUCUUUGAGCCUAUAGAGAUAUACUCCCUCCGUUCCUAAUAUAAGUCUUUCUAGAGAUUUUACUAGUAGACUACAUACGGAUGUAUAUAGACAUAUUUUAGAGUGUAGAUUCACUCAUUUUGCUUCGUAUGUAGACUCUUAGUGAAAUCUCUUAAAAGACUUAUAUUUAGGAACGGAGGGAGUACUUGCUUUUUGGAAAGAAAAAAAUUAAUCAAAUUUGUGUCAUCAUAAAUUAGAUCAAAGCCGCAUCUCCGCCACAGUAGACAAAUUCUAUAUAUGGGGCUAUCAAACUUGCACUUUUGAGACUAUCAAUACUGAUUUCUUUCGGUUCCAAAUGCAGAAAGACAAUCAAGAUGAUNN